Molecule: ribosomal RNA, 252 nt
Filed under: Drosophila tanythrix
Lineage: Eukaryota; Metazoa; Arthropoda; Insecta; Diptera; Drosophilidae
Also listed under: 1 other name
Description: partial 16S ribosomal RNA
Source: RNAcentral
UUUUUAUAGAAUUUUAUUUUUUAGUCCAAAAGCUAAAAUAAAUUUAAAAGACGAGAAGACCCUAUAAAUCUUUAUAUUUUGUUUAUUUUAAUUAUAAAGAUUAUUUUUAUUAUAAUAAAUUAAAAUAUUUUAUUGGGGUGAUAUUAAAAUUUAAAAACUUUUAAUUUUUAAAACCAUUAAUUUAUGAAUUAUUGAUCCAUUAAUAAUGAUUAAAAAUUUAAGUUACUUUAGGGAUAACAGCGUAAUUUUUUU